Meriones unguiculatus (Mongolian gerbil) is the source of this 1856-nucleotide long non-coding RNA. RefSeq lists it as uncharacterized. The record is from RefSeq and is a predicted model, not a curated record. The transcript has 5 exons. NCBI's taxonomy places the organism in Eukaryota, Metazoa, Chordata, Mammalia, Rodentia, Muridae.
GGUUGCUAUAGUAAAUUCUGUAUUGCCCUUAAAAAUAGAACUGAUAAAAAUGGAGUCAGUGGAGUUGAACGGGGAAGAAGCAUCCUAAGAUGAAAUGUGGGAUUUCUCUGUGUAGCUCUGGAUGUCUUGGAACUUGCUCUGAAUACCAGGUUGACCUCCAACUCAGAGAUCAGCCUACCUCUGACCCUCAAGUGCUGGGAUAAAAGCCUGCCCACCCCCACCAGUUUGUUUAUAUGGUGGAUUACACUGAUGGAUUUCCAUAUAUUGAACCACACUGCAUACCUGGGAUGAAGCCUACUUGCUGCUAAUAAAUGCAACUUUUUGAACAUUAAAACAUAGACUGAAGAUCAGCAGCUAUCCAGGCUCUUGAACUGAAGAACUAUCAGAAGUGCUACGCUCCCUCAAAUAACAUUGCCACAUAUUCAUCAGCCAGCCUCAGACAGGAGAUAAAGAAGAGUUGGAAACAUCCCUGGAGAUAUGGAGAUUGACUCUGGUUUUUGAUGGUAUAUUAUUCUGAGGAUUCACACAUUUAAUGACAUCCAAGAAAAAGAGGUCAGCAGGAUAAUCCACUGUGUAUUGGUUUGGCUCAACUUGGAAAUUUUUCACGUGUUGCUUAUAUUUAUGUAAAUAAAGGACUAGUCUUUCAUCUUCCAAUUUCAACAUGUUGCUGAAUUAAUGUGAUUAAAGAUGGAGUUGUACUAUUGUUAACUGUAUCUUUGUUUCUAUGUUAAAGUGCAAAGGAAAAAUUAUAUAAAAUUAAUGUACUCCUAAGAAUUUGAAUAUGUCUUUCAGCAUCAGUUAUUGUAAACCCAAGGCAAUUUCACACAAAACAGUAUGAUAUAUUUUCUUUUCAGUCUUAGCUUCCAUGCCAUUCCUAUUUCUUUUUUAUGACCAGGUUUAUAAAUAGAAUCUUUGAAUUGAACAAGUUUGGUAGGAUUCAACAACGAAGAGUUUCAAAUAUUCAUAUGUGUUAAAAUAUUUUCAGAUAUUUUUCUUAAACAGCAUCAGUGGACUGGGUGAGGACCAAGGGAGAAGAGGAAGGGAGGGUGAGAUUGGGAAGGGAAGAGGGAGGUGCUACAGCUGGGAUACAAAAUGAAUAAAUUGUAAUAAAUAAAUUAAUAAGUAAAGUAUAUAAAAUAGUAAUUAUAGUCAUGCAUUUAACAACUUAAUUCCUUUUUCCUAGGUCAUUGUUUUGCUGUCUAAGCUUGAAAUCACUUUUUGGAAUCAAAUCAUAGUAGACACACAGCUAUGACCCCAAAGAUAAAUAUUCUUUUAUCUUCCUUGGUGGAGAAGGAAAUUAAGCUUGUGAAUGCAUAGGAUUACCUAGUGUUUGUGAAAAGUUAUAAAACAGAAUAACUCUGGCCACUGAAGUGUAAGAAAACAUAUGUGUGAUGUUGAUAAUUGUUUGAUAGUUUGGCUUUUAAUAUUGCUGCGUACAAAAAUCCUUUUUCUACUAAGCAUUGCUAUAACAAAGAUCCUCUGGUAUCUGUUUUUGCCUCAUGUCUGAUUCAUUCAGUAUAAAAAAUAAAUUGAGCACUACAUUCUGUCAGGAUUUUGUGGAAAAUACAGUGUGGUUGAUAUUGUGCUCUAUUUUCUUAAACCUGUCAAGCUACACCACCACAAGGAGAUAUUUACUGUGGAAACAAGAGAUUCAUUUGUAAGUACUCCCUUUGGCUGCCAGGAAAGGGAUAUCCAGGACCUGAAAGGUGAAUAAUGUUUAAGGGCAUCAGUCUAGGACAAAAAAUGAAUAUAGAAGAGGUGAAAUCAUUGUGUAUUGAGCAGUGGGGAAGGAAAUGAUUUGUGCUGCCUGCUGAUAUAUGAAGUUAUAUUAUGUACAAUAAAAAUAGUUUAGUUUU